This 874-nucleotide ribosomal RNA is filed under the name uncultured bacterium. RNAcentral describes it as "bacterial SSU rRNA". It matches the Rfam family "Bacterial small subunit ribosomal RNA", at positions 8 to 879 of the family's 1533-position model. The record is from RNAcentral.
AGAGUUUGAUCAUGGCUCAGGAUGAACGCUGGCGGCGUGCUUUACACAUGCAAGUCGAACGAAGCACUUUAUUUGAUUUCCUUCGGGAUUGAUUAUUUUGUGACUGAGUGGCGGACGGGUGAGUAAUCGCGUGGGUAACCUGCCUUGUACAGGGGGAUAACAGUUGGAAACGGCUGCUAAUACCGCAUAAGCGCACAGUACCGCAUGGUAUAGUGUGAAAAACUCCGGUGGUAUAAGAUGGACCCGCGAUUGAUUAGCUGGUUGGUGGGGUAACGGCCUACCAAGGCGACGAUCAAUAGCCGACCUGAGAGGGUGACCGGCCACAUUGGGACUGAGACACGGCCCAAACUCCUACGGGAGGCAGCAGUGGGGAAUAUUGCACAAUGGGCGAAAGCCUGAUGCAGCGACGCCGCGUGAGCGAAGAAGUAUUUCGGUAUGUAAAGCUCUAUCAGCAGGGAAGAUAAUGACGGUACCUGACUAAGAAGCACCGGCUAAAUACGUGCCAGCAGCCGCGGUAAUACGUAUGGUGCAAGCGUUAUCCGGAUUUACUGGGUGUAAAGGGAGCGCAGGCGGUGCGGCAAGUCUGAUGUGAAAGCCCGGGGCUCAACCCCGGUACUGCAUUGGAAACUGUCGUACUAGAGUGUCGGAGGGGUAAGCGGAAUUCCUAGUGUAGCGGUGAAAUGCGUAGAUAUUAGGAGGAACACCAGUGGCGAAGGCGGCUUACUGGACGAUAACUGACGCUGAGGCUCGAAAGCGUGGGGAGCAAACAGGACUAGAUACCCUGGUAGUCCACGCCGUAAACGAUGAAUAUUAGGUGUCGGGAGGCAUUGCCUUUCGGUGCCGUCGCAACGCAGUAAGCUAUUCCACCUGGGGA